Molecule: unclassified non-coding RNA, 343 nt
Filed under: Hevea brasiliensis (rubber tree)
Lineage: Eukaryota; Viridiplantae; Streptophyta; Magnoliopsida; Malpighiales; Euphorbiaceae
Source: RNAcentral
GACAUCUUUGAUUUUACAUUCAUCUUUUCCAAAUCCUUACUCAACCCCAUUUCAUUGUUCUUCACAAGCGAUUCUCCGUCUUCACCUCUAGAUGCAGCCCCAUCUGAAUCAAUAACCAGUACAGUUUCUGAAGGGUUCUGGUUCGAACUCUCCCUUGUCUCUCGAUUAACAUUUGGUGUAGCUUCUCCACUGAAGCCGAGCGAAGUUCCAGUUGCUUCCCUGUGAGCUUCCUUGUCGCCGCCAGCAGAGGCGGCGUUUUCUGGGAUUACCACAAUGGUAGCCUCGAUCCUAUCGCCAUUAACCGAAUCGCUAGUGGGUUUAGGCACCCCUGUUUCUAUUCGAC